UCCUUCGGGAUUAGUGGCGGACGGGUGAGUAACGCGUGGGAACAUACCCAAAGGUACGGAAUAGCCUCGGGAAACUGAGAGUAAUACCGUAUGUGCCCUUCGGGGGAAAGAUUUAUCGGAGAAGGAUCGGCCCGCGUUGGAUUAGGUAGUUGGUGGGGUAAUGGCCUACCAAGCCGACGAUCCAUAGCUGGUUUGAGAGGAUGAUCAGCCACACUGGGACUGAGACACGGCCCAGACUCC
This 240-nucleotide ribosomal RNA is filed under the name uncultured bacterium. RNAcentral describes it as "partial 16S ribosomal RNA". It matches the Rfam family "Bacterial small subunit ribosomal RNA", at positions 82 to 339 of the family's 1533-position model. The record is from RNAcentral.